Gossypium arboreum is the source of this 689-nucleotide long non-coding RNA. RefSeq lists it as uncharacterized. The transcript is spliced from 2 exons. Lineage: Eukaryota; Viridiplantae; Streptophyta; Magnoliopsida; Malvales; Malvaceae. The record is from RefSeq and is a predicted model, not a curated record.
GAAAUUUUUGGUAUAAGGAUAGCAACAAAUCAACUUGGUACCGAUUUUUGGGCGUAAUGAGGGUGCUAACCCUUCCUCAUGCAUAACCGACUCCCGAACCCGUUUUUUUAUUACAUGAACCAAAUUUAUUUGAAUAGAAUAAAACGUUUUAGUAGGUGGCCCAGUCACACCUAAAUCAAGAGAUUGGUGGCGACUCCACAUUUUUGUUUUCAAAGUCGAUGACCAUUGUUUUCAAAAUAAAAAAGGGUUUCGACAAUUAUAUUUUAUUAAAUGAAAAUAAUCUUCCUUUAGUGAAAUUAAAUAUAUCAAUUCAAUAAACUAUUAAGUUUCUUGUAGAGUGUGCCUAGCAUAUAUUGGACAGUUUGUAGGCACUUAUUGAAGAUAGAUGCAACCAGUCACAAAGUAGGGGCAACGUCACGAUGAGGAGACUCAUGACAUCACGACGAUUUCUCCAAUUAAGCGGCCGUGUUUUGACAACUUAGCCAAUUAAGAGGCGACAAGAUAUAGCCGUAGGAUGAGUUUUAGAAAGGGUUUUGGGAUAGCUAUGAAGAGAACUUUGUACCCUAGUUAGGGCUUUAUAUUUGGAGUUUAAGUUUUGUACAUCUAGUACAUUUAGGUUUAUUUUCUAUAUGGAGUACUCUUGUUUGUUUACUCAUCUAGUAAAAAGCUAAAAUCUCCUUUGCCCGUGA